UAGUAGUAAGAAAUCCAGCAGCGGACAAAAAAAAAAAAAAAAAAAAAACGCAAAAAUGGCGUUGAUGAAGGGAGAGCCUUUGGUGGCAAAGCUGGCAGCUUUAGCCAAGUACGUGGUGCUGCCGGGCUUCAUGGUUGCUGCUCUUAUUUACUCUCCUCCCAACUACGCUUCUUCCAAGAAGGACAAAUCCCCCAAUUAAAAUUCUCUUUCCCUUUUUCUACUGGAGUAUCUUUAUUAUGGCUAAGGUUUUUCAUGCUAUGUGCCUCUUUCCUAUAAUGGGGAUCUCCAAGAUUUCAGCAUAAUGUUUCUAGGUAUAUAGAGAGUUGACUGCAGUUUGUUUGCCUUUGAAGAACUUUUGAGUUUUGAAUCUCUUGUUUUUCUGAGACUUUAUUAAAAAAUAUGACAUUAUGUAAUAAAUACAAGAUUGCCCCGUGAAUUACAUUAUUGAAUAAUUUGGAUUGUAAUGUUGUUAAAUGAUCAUCAAUGCUCUCUAUGUUAUCUAAUCAAGCUUGCCUUAGAUUGUUGA
Non-coding RNA from Durio zibethinus, 526 nucleotides. The record is from RefSeq and is a predicted model, not a curated record. NCBI's taxonomy places the organism in Eukaryota, Viridiplantae, Streptophyta, Magnoliopsida, Malvales, Malvaceae.